UGCCAAAAUGUCUUCUCAUAGAUAUA
RNAcentral lists this non-coding RNA (26 nucleotides) under Rattus norvegicus (Norway rat). The record is from RNAcentral. Lineage: Eukaryota; Metazoa; Chordata; Mammalia; Rodentia; Muridae.